RNAcentral lists this ribosomal RNA (585 nucleotides) under Triticum aestivum (bread wheat). RNAcentral describes it as "partial small subunit ribosomal RNA". The record is from RNAcentral. Lineage: Eukaryota; Viridiplantae; Streptophyta; Magnoliopsida; Poales; Poaceae.
AUGUGGACCUGUCUUCGUCAGCGCUAUGAGCCCUCUGGUGAUGCCUUAUACCUUUCUGUGGUUCGUCAGGAGCAUGCUCUUCAGCAGGGUGACUCUACUGUUGAUGACUUUUAUGCACAGAGUUCUGCUAUCUGGCGCCAGCUUUAUUCUCUCCGCAGUGCUGGCUGUCGUACUUGCCCCUGCUGCCAGGCUGUCCAGGCCAACUUGGAGUUUCAUCGCGUCUACGAGUUCCUGUCUCGGCUCCGUAAGGAGUUUGAGCCCCGGCGUGCUCAGUUGUUUGCUCGUGGCCGUAUUUCUCUCAUGGAGGCACUUUCAGAGAUUCGUGCUGAGGAGACUCGCUUACGUGGUGCUGGUUUGCUGGAGGUUCCCUCUGUGCUCGCUACUCGGGCUUCUUCCACUCCACCUGCUGCACCGCCCCAUUCUCGCUCGAGUGCUCCGCCGCUCUUGCCCACUCCUUCUGGAGGCUCAGGUCGCCCCCGUCCACAUUGUGACUACUGCAACAAUGAUGGUCAUAUUGAGUCCCAGUGCUACACCAAGCGGAAACACCUGCGCAAGGCGCGAUCAUCCUCCUCAGGGACUUCGUCA